Molecule: ribosomal RNA, 694 nt
Filed under: uncultured bacterium
Lineage: Bacteria
Description: bacterial SSU rRNA
Rfam family: Bacterial small subunit ribosomal RNA
Source: RNAcentral
AACGCUAGCUACAGGCUUAACACAUGCAAGUCGAGGGGCAGCAUGGUCUUAGCUUGCUAAGGCCGAUGGCGACCGGCGCACGGGUGAGUAACGCGUAUCCAACCUGCCUUACACUCUUGGACAGCCUUCUGAAAGGGAGAUUAAUACAAGAUGUUAUCAUGAGUAAGCAUUUUCGCAUGAUUAAAGGUUUACCGGUGUAAGAUGGGGAUGCGUUCCAUUAGAUAGUAGGCGGGGUAACGGCCCACCUAGUCUUCGAUGGAUAGGGGAACUGAGAGGUUGGUCUCCCACACUGGUACUGAGACACGGACCAGACUCCUACGGGAGGCAGCAGUGAGGAAUAUUGGUCAAUGGGCGGGAGCCUGAACCAGCCAAGUCGCGUGAAGGAAGAAGGAUCUAUGGUUCGUAAACUUCUUUUGCAGGGGAAUAAAGUGCAGGACGUGUCCUGUUUUGUAUGUACCCUGAGAAUAAGGAUCGGCUAACUCCGCGCCAGCAGCCGCGGUAAUACGGAGGAUCCGAGCGUUAUCCGGAUUUAUUGGGUUUAAAGGGUGCGUGGAUGGUUUGAUAAGUCAGCGGUGAAAGUUUGCAGCUUAACUGUAAAAAUGCCGUUGAAACUGUCGGACUUGAGUGUAAAUGAGGUAGGCGGAAUGCGUGGUGUAGCGGUGAAAUGCAUAGAUAUCACGAAGAACUCCGAUUG